RNAcentral lists this ribosomal RNA (497 nucleotides) under uncultured bacterium. RNAcentral describes it as "partial 16S ribosomal RNA". It matches the Rfam family "Bacterial small subunit ribosomal RNA", at positions 28 to 507 of the family's 1533-position model. The record is from RNAcentral.
GAUGAACGCUGGCGGCGUGCCUAAUACAUGCAAGUCGAGCGAACGGACGAGAAGCUUGCUUUUCUGAUGUUAGCGGCGGACGGGUGAGUAACAUGUGGAUAACCUACCUAUAAGACUGGGAUCACCUCGGGAAAGCGGAGCUAAUAGCGGAUAAUCUUUUGCACCGCAUGGUUCGAAAGAGAAAGUCGGUCGUGCUGGCACUAAUAGAGGGAUACGGGCUGGUUUGGCUAGUUGGUAAGGUAACGGCUUAUUAAGGCUAGGAUGCAUAGCCGACGGGAGGGGGGGGUAGGCGGCACGAGAGGUGAGACAGCGUCCAGACGCCUACGGGAGGCAGCAGAAGGGAAUCGUCCGCAGAAGGCGAAAGCCUGACGGAGCGACGCCGCGUGAGAGAUAGGGGUCUCGGGAUCGGAAAGCUCUGUUAUUAGGGAAGAACAGAUGUGGAAGUAACUGUGGAGAGCUUGACGGUACCGAAUCAGAAAGCAACGGCUAACUACGUG